UCAGUAGCUGAGUGGAUAACGCGAUGGCUUUUGAGGCGAAAUAUACUGGUUUCGAAUCCCAGAAUGA
Molecule: transfer RNA, 67 nt
Filed under: Schistosoma mansoni
Lineage: Eukaryota; Metazoa; Platyhelminthes; Trematoda; Strigeidida; Schistosomatidae
Source: RNAcentral